GGAAUUGACGGGGAGCACCACAACAGGUGGAGCCUGCGGUUUAAUCGGACUCAACGCCGGGAAACUCACCAGAUAAGACAGCUGAAUGAUAGUCGGGCUGAAGACUCUACUUGACUAGCUGAGAGGAGGUGCAUGGCCGUCGUCAGUUCGUACUGUGAAGCAUCCUGUUAAGUCAGGCAACGAGCGAGACCCACGCCAACAGUUGCCGGCUCGUCCUCCGGGAUGGUGGGGACACUGUUGGGACCGCCUCUGCUAAAGAGGAGGAAGGAAUGGGCAACGGUAGGUCAGCAUGCCCCGAAUUAUCUGGGCUACACGCGGGCUACAAUGGGUGGGACAAUGGGUAUCGACACCGAAAGGUGAAGGCAAUCUCCUAAACCCAUCCGUAGUUCGGAUUGUGGGCUGCAACUCGCCCACAUGAAGCUGGAAUCCGUAGUAAUCGCGUUUCAACAGAACGCGGUGAAUACGUCCCUGCUCCUU
RNAcentral lists this ribosomal RNA (477 nucleotides) under uncultured Methanomicrobiales archaeon. RNAcentral describes it as "bacterial SSU rRNA". It matches the Rfam family "Archaeal small subunit ribosomal RNA", at positions 861 to 1338 of the family's 1478-position model. Lineage: Archaea; Methanobacteriati; Methanobacteriota; Methanomicrobia; Methanomicrobiales. The record is from RNAcentral.